This 469-nucleotide ribosomal RNA is filed under the name uncultured bacterium. Its description in RNAcentral is "partial 16S ribosomal RNA". It matches the Rfam family "Bacterial small subunit ribosomal RNA", at positions 36 to 507 of the family's 1533-position model. The record is from RNAcentral.
UCCUCCCUCUUUCUUCGUGCUUAACACAUGCAAGUCGAACGGAAAGGCCCUGCUUGCAGGGUGCUCGAGUGGCGAACGGGUGAGUAACACGUGGGUGAUCUGCCCCUUACUUUGGGAUAAGCCUGGGAAACUGGGUCUAAUACUGGAUAGGACCAUGCUGUAGGUGGUGUGGUGGAAAGAUUAGUUUCGGUAAGGGAUGAGCUCGCGGCCUAUCAGCUUGUUGGUGGGGUAAUGGCCUACCAAGGCGUCGACGGGUAGCCGGCCUGAGAGGGUGGACGGCCACAUUGGGACUGAGAUACGGCCCAGACUCCUACGGGAGGCAGCAGUGGGGAAUAUUGCACAAUGGGCGCAAGCCUGAUGCAGCGACGCCGCGUGGGGGAUGACGGCCUUCGGGUUGUAAACUCCUUUCAGCCAUGACGAAGCCCUUGUGGUGACGGUAGUGGUAGAAGAAGCACCGGCUAACUACGUG